RNAcentral lists this ribosomal RNA (663 nucleotides) under Dolichospermum flos-aquae LEGE 04289. RNAcentral's name for it is "bacterial SSU rRNA". It matches the Rfam family "Bacterial small subunit ribosomal RNA", at positions 99 to 795 of the family's 1533-position model. The record is from RNAcentral. Lineage: Bacteria; Bacillati; Cyanobacteriota; Cyanophyceae; Nostocales; Aphanizomenonaceae.
CGGACGGGUGAGUAACGCGUGAGAAUCUACCCUCAGGUCGGGGACAACCACUGGAAACGGUGGCUAAUACCGGAUGUGCCGAGAGGUGAAAGGCUUGCUGCCUGGGGAAGAGCUUGCGUCUGAUUAGCUAGUUGGUAGUGUAAGGGACUACCAAGGCGACGAUCAGUAGCUGGUCUGAGAGGAUGAUCAGCCACACUGGGACUGAGACACGGCCCAGACUCCUACGGGAGGCAGCAGUGGGGAAUUUUCCGCAAUGGGCGAAAGCCUGACGGAGCAAUACCGCGUGAGGGAGGAAGGCUCUUGGGUUGUAAACCUCUUUUCUCAGGGAAGAAAAAAAUGACGGUACCUGAGGAAUAAGCAUCGGCUAACUCCGUGCCAGCAGCCGCGGUAAUACGGAGGAUGCAAGCGUUAUCCGGAAUGAUUGGGCGUAAAGGGUCCGCAGGUGGCAUUGUAAGUCUGCUGUUAAAGAGUUUGGCUCAACCAAAUAAAAGCAGUGGAAACUACAAAGCUAGAGUUUGGUCGGGGCAGAGGGAAUUCCUGGUGUAGCGGUGAAAUGCGUAGAUAUCAGGAAGAACACCAGUGGCGAAGGCGCUCUGCUAGGCCGAGACUGACACUGAGGGACGAAAGCUAGGGGAGCGAAUGGGAUUAGAUACCCCAGUAGUC